UGCUAGUUCACUGGUCUUUUUGUUUAACCAUUUCUUGGUUAAAGGAAGAAAAAGAAAAAGACAAGAAGCCUGACUCCUUCGGCCUUCUGACUUUUGGAUGUCCUAAAAAAGAGAAAGAUCAGAGUUGUUUAGACUAAUCAUUGGUUAACAUCUAUAAACCAAUGCCAUGGUGCAUGGGGUUUUUUUUUAUUUUUAAAGCAGGAGUGCAUGGGACUGAAAUGUACAAUGCAUCUCUUGAAUUUUUGGGGGAAUGCAUGGGAACUGUUAUACAUGUUUUGUUGAGUUCUUUUGAAAUGCUUUGUUUUGUAUGGUAAAACUCUCUUUAAAAUGAUGCUGAGUUAAGAAAAAAAGAAAGAAAAAGGAUUGCGAGUUAUGAUUUCCUGAGAUA
Magnolia sinica is the source of this 388-nucleotide long non-coding RNA. RefSeq lists it as uncharacterized. The record is from RefSeq and is a predicted model, not a curated record. The transcript is spliced from 2 exons. Lineage: Eukaryota; Viridiplantae; Streptophyta; Magnoliopsida; Magnoliales; Magnoliaceae.